UUUUGUGGCAUGACAUGAUAUGCUUUUGUGAUUAAUUAUGUUGAUGAUGUGUGAUGGUAUACGUGAUGAUGUGAAUGUAUACAUUUGUGAAUAGACUGUAUUGCUUGGUUAGAGUGUGAGCAUGUGUCUAUUCUGAUUAUUGUUGAUGUUGCAUUGCUAGGUGAUUAGCAUGCAUAUUGUGGCCUUCGGGUGGUAGCUAAUUCCCAUGGUGAGGAAUUAGUGAGUUUAGUCAUUUUUGGACUGUUGUUG
RNAcentral lists this long non-coding RNA (249 nucleotides) under Lathyrus oleraceus (garden pea). Its description in RNAcentral is "Pisum sativum (pea) long non-coding RNA (PSAT_LNC019085)". The record is from RNAcentral. Lineage: Eukaryota; Viridiplantae; Streptophyta; Magnoliopsida; Fabales; Fabaceae.